GAUUAAGCCAUGCAUGUGUAAGUAUAAAUAAUUCUACUUUGAAACUGCGAAUGGCUCAUUAUAUCAGUUAUAGUUUAUUAGAAAAAAUGUACUACUUGGAUAACCGUAGUAAUUCUAGGGCUAAUACAUGAAUGAAUCCUCGACUUUGAAGAGGUGUGUUUAUUAGUAUGAAAACCAUAUGCUUCGGCAUGAUAGGGAGUAAUAAUAACCUUUCAUAUCCUAUGUUGAAAUAACGAUAGUUCUUUCAAGUUUCUGCCCUAUCACCUUUCGAUGGUAGUGCAUUGGACUACCAUG
RNAcentral lists this ribosomal RNA (294 nucleotides) under Blastocystis sp. RNAcentral describes it as "partial small subunit ribosomal RNA". It matches the Rfam family "Eukaryotic small subunit ribosomal RNA", at positions 42 to 348 of the family's 1831-position model. The record is from RNAcentral. Lineage: Eukaryota; Bigyra; Opalinata; Blastocystidae.